CCGCUAGCAUCGAGAAGCGGAAGGAUGCAACGGCAAUUAAGAUCCAAGCCGCUUUUCGAGGUUAUCUAAUGAAUUGAUCUUUCUUUUUCAAAGAUUUGUGAGAAAGAAAGUACCUGACAGAUAUUGGAGGAAGAAGACCAAUAUCGAUGACGAUAGAGAGGAAAGCCACAUCAGAGACCAAUGGGAGGUGACGACGAAGAGAGUUGG
This 207-nucleotide long non-coding RNA is filed under the name Elaeis guineensis (African oil palm). RNAcentral's name for it is "long non-coding RNA (EGUI_LNC019872)". Lineage: Eukaryota; Viridiplantae; Streptophyta; Magnoliopsida; Arecales; Arecaceae. The record is from RNAcentral.